GGUCGGUUAGCUCAGUUGGUAGAGCAUCGCAAUUACAUACAUAACUUCAUGUUCUGAAGUAAGAAGUACUGCGAAGGCCAUAGGUUCAAGCCCUAUACUGACCA
Molecule: non-coding RNA, 104 nt
Organism: Xylariaceae sp. FL1019
Lineage: Eukaryota; Fungi; Ascomycota; Sordariomycetes; Xylariales; Xylariaceae
Source: the annotation of a GenBank genome assembly